This 1375-nucleotide unclassified non-coding RNA is filed under the name uncultured Neocallimastigales. RNAcentral describes it as "partial contains small subunit ribosomal RNA, internal transcribed spacer 1, 5.8S ribosomal RNA, internal transcribed spacer 2, and large subunit ribosomal RNA". The stretch from base 604 to 1375 matches the Rfam family "Eukaryotic large subunit ribosomal RNA", at positions 1 to 621 of the family's 3401-position model. Lineage: Eukaryota; Fungi; Neocallimastigomycota; Neocallimastigomycetes; Neocallimastigales. The record is from RNAcentral.
UUUCCGUAGGUGAACCUGCGGAAGGAUCAUUAAAAAAUGUGGUACCGAUUGUUGGUACUAAAUUAAUCAUCCUACCCUUUGUGAAUUUGUUUGUAACGAAUUUUUUAAAUGGGUCUUUCCCUAAGUUGGAUUGUAGUAAAAUACAAAAAAGACUUAGGGGAAUGACUUUUUUAAAAGACUUUUUUUUAAAUUAAAACUUUUUGUAUUCAUUUGUCUAAAAUUUAUUUUUAUAAUAUAAAAACAACUUUGACAAUGGAUCUCUUGGUUCUCGCAACGAUGAAGAACGCAGCAAAAUGCGAUAAGUAGUGUGAAUUGCAGAAUACGUGAAUCAUCGAAUCUUCGAACGCAUAUUGCACUUUUUUAGUUUACUAAAAAAGUAUGUCUGUUUGAGUAUCAGUAAAAUAUUCUCACAAACAUAUAUUGUUUUGUGGUAUGAGUGUUUUACAACGAUAAACAAGUUGUUUCACUUUAAAUUCUUUUUGUAAGUUUUACCAAUUCAAAAUUAAAAUUGGAUAAAAUUUUCCUUUAACGAGGAAUAACCUAAACAAUUUUAAAUUUUUGGUUUGAUAAACAUUCAUAAAGGAAUCUAUACAACAAAUAACUUGAUCUCAAAUCAGAUAAGAGUACCCGCUGAACUUAAGCAUAUCAAUAAGCGGAGGAAAAGAAACUAACAAGGAUUCCCUUAGUAACGGCGAGUGAAGCGGGAAGAGCUCAAAUUUGAAAUCUUCAAGGUUUGACCUUGACGAAUUGUAGUUUAUAGAAGUGUUUUCUGUUGGAGUUUUGGUAAAAGUUCUUUGGAAUAGGACAUCAUAGAGGGUGAGAAUCCCGUAUUUGACCAUGACUUUCCAGCUGUGUGAUACACUUUCAAAGAGUCGGAUUGUUUGGGAAUGCAGUCCAAAAUGGGUGGUAAAUUUCAUCUAAAGCUAAAUAUUGGCGAGAGACCGAUAGCGAACAAGUACCGUGAGGGAAAGAUGAAAAGAACUUUGAAAAGAGAGUUAAACAGUACGUGAAAUUGUCAAAAGGGAAGCGUUUGACACCAGUGUUGUUUUCUCGAAAAUCAAUUUAAUGAGUUCUUGUUUUUAAGUUAUUGUGACUUUAUCAGCGCAUUUCUUAUUUUACUUGACUCAUUGAAUGCACUUUUCGUUUAACAAGUCAACAUCAAUUUCUUUGGUGGUAAAAAGUUUAAAGGAAGGUGGCUUGGACUUCGGUUCAAGUGUUUAUAGCCUUUUUUCUAUGCCAUCGGAGAGAUUGAGGUCUGCAGCGUAGAUCCUUCGGGGUUAGAUACCUUUGUGCUAAGUUAUAGUUUUUUAUAGACAACUUGUUGACUAUAAUUAACCCUGUAAUUUACUCGCUUAGGCUAUUUUACCUACGCUUA